AGGGGCGGCCGUCUAUAAUGCAAGUCGAGCGGAGUUUUGAAAGCUUGCUUUUCAAAACUUAGCGGCGGACGGGUGAGUAACACGUGGGCAACCUGCCCUUGAGACGGGGAUAACUCCGGGAAACCGGAGCUAAUACCGGAUAACACAUAUCUUCGCAUGAGGAUAUGUUAGAAGGUGGCUUUUAGCUACCACUCAAGGAUGGGCCCGCGGCGCAUUAGCUAGUUGGUGAGGUAACGGCUCACCAAGGCGACGAUGCGUAGCCGACCUGAGAGGGUGAUCGGCCACACUGGGACUGAGACACGGCCCAGACUCCUACGGGAGGCAGCAGUAGGGAAUCUUCCGCAAUGGACGAAAGUCUGACGGAGCAACGCCGCGUGAGUGAUGAAGGUUUUCGGAUCGUAAAGCUCUGUUGUUAGGGAAGAACAAGUACCUGUUAAAUAAGCAGGUACCUUGACGGUACCUAACCAGAAAGCCACGGCUAACUACGUGCCAGCAGCCGCGGUAAUACGUAGGUGGCAAGCGUUGUCCGGAAUUAUUGGGCGUAAAGCGCGCGCAGGCGGUUCCUUAAGUCUGAUGUGAAAGCCCACGGCUCAACCGUGGAGGGUCAUUGGAAACUGGGGAACUUGAGUGCAGAAGAGGAGAGCGGAAUUCCACGUGUAGCGGUGAAAUGCGUAGAGAUGUGGAGGAACACCAGUGGCGAAGGCGGCUCUCUGGUCUGUAACUGACGCUGAGGCGCGAAAGCGUGGGGAGCGAACAGGAUUAGAUACCCUGGUAGUCCACGCCGUAAACGAUGAGUGCUAAGUGUUAGAGGGUUUCCGCCCUUUAGUGCUGCAGCAAAACGCAUUAAGCACUCCGCCUGGGGGAGUACGGUCGCAAGACUGAAACUCAAAGGAAUUUGACGGGGACCCGCACAAGCGGUGGGAGCAUGUGGUUUAAUUCGAAGCAACGCGAAGAACCUUACCAGGUCUUGACAUCCUCUGCUACUUCUAGAGAUAGAAAGGUUCCCUUUCGGGACAAGUGACAGGUGGUGCAUGGUUGUCCUCACUCGUGUCUGAAAUGUUUUGGUUUAAUUCCGGCAAC
This 1080-nucleotide ribosomal RNA is filed under the name Priestia endophytica. RNAcentral describes it as "bacterial SSU rRNA". It matches the Rfam family "Bacterial small subunit ribosomal RNA", at positions 38 to 1093 of the family's 1533-position model. Lineage: Bacteria; Bacillati; Bacillota; Bacilli; Caryophanales; Bacillaceae. The record is from RNAcentral.